AUACGUAGGGUGCGAGCGUUGUCCGGAAUUACUGGGCGUAAAGAGCUCGUAGGUGGUUUGUCGCGUCGUCUGUGAAAUUCCGGGGCUUAACUCCGGGCGUGCAGGCGAUACGGGCAUAACUUGAGUACUGUAGGGGAGACUGGAAUUCCUGGUGUAGCGGUGAAAUGCGCAGAUAUCAGGAGGAACACCGGUGGCGAAGGCGGGUCUCUGGGCAGUAACUGACGCUGAGGAGCGAAAGCAUAGGUAGCGAACAGGAUUAGAUACCCUGGUAGUCCAGGCCGUAAACGGUGGGCGCUAGGUGUAGGGGUCUUCCACGACUUCUGUGCCGUAGCUAACGCAUUAAGCGCCCCGCCUGGGGAGUACGGCCGCAAGGCUAAAACUCAAAGGAAUUGACGGGG
This 398-nucleotide ribosomal RNA is filed under the name uncultured bacterium. Its description in RNAcentral is "partial 16S ribosomal RNA". It matches the Rfam family "Bacterial small subunit ribosomal RNA", at positions 523 to 918 of the family's 1533-position model. The record is from RNAcentral.